RNAcentral lists this transfer RNA (78 nucleotides) under Clostridium sp. Its description in RNAcentral is "tRNA-Arg". It matches the Rfam family "tRNA". From Rfam's summary of the family: Transfer RNA (tRNA) molecules are approximately 80 nucleotides in length. Their secondary structure includes four short double-helical elements and three loops (D, anti-codon, and T loops). RNAcentral also lists the same sequence under 3 other names. Lineage: Bacteria; Bacillati; Bacillota; Clostridia; Eubacteriales; Clostridiaceae. The record is from RNAcentral.
UGGCUUAUAGCUCAACGGAUAGAGCACAUGGCUACGGACCAUGGUUUGUUGUGAGUUCGAAUCUCACUAAGCCAGCCA